This 253-nucleotide ribosomal RNA is filed under the name uncultured bacterium. RNAcentral's name for it is "partial 16S ribosomal RNA". It matches the Rfam family "Bacterial small subunit ribosomal RNA", at positions 524 to 776 of the family's 1533-position model. The record is from RNAcentral.
UACGAAGGGGGCUAGCGUUGUUCGGAAUUACUGGGCGUAAAGCGCGCGCAGGCGGUUUCUCAAGGCAGUGGUGAAAGCCCGGAGCUCAACUCCGGAACUGCCAUUGAAACUGUGAAACUUGAGGACGAGAGAGGUGAGUGGAAUUCCCAGUGUAGAGGUGAAAUUCGUAGAUAUUGGGAAGAACACCGGUGGCGAAGGCGGCUCACUGGCUCGUUUCUGACGCUCAGGCGCGACAGCGUGGGGAUCAAACAGG